ACACAUGCAAGUCGAACGAUGAAGCCUUUCGGGGUGGAUUAGUGGCGAACGGGUGAGUAACACGUGGGCAAUCUGCCCUUCACUCUGGGACAAGCCCUGGAAACGGGGUCUAAUACCGGAUAACACUCUGUCCUGCAUGGGACGGGGUUAAAAGCUCCGGCGGUGAAGGAUGAGCCCGCGGCCUAUCAGCUUGUUGGUGGGGUAAUGGCCUACCAAGGCGACGACGGGUAGCCGGCCUGAGAGGGCGACCGGCCACACUGGGACUGAGACACGGCCCAGACUCCUACGGGAGGCAGCAGUGGGGAAUAUUGCACAAUGGGCGAAAGCCUGAUGCAGCGACGCCGCGUGAGGGAUGACGGCCUUCGGGUUGUAAACCUCUUUCAGCAGGGAAGAAGCGAAAGUGACGGUACCUGCAGAAGAAGCGCCGGCUAACUACGUGCCAGCAGCCGCGGUAAUACGUAGGGCGCAAGCGUUGUCCGGAAUUAUUGGGCGUAAAGAGCUCGUAGGCGGCUUGUCACGUCGGAUGUGAAAGCCCGGGGCUUAACCCCGGGUCUGCAUUCGAUACGGGCUAGCUAGAGUGUGGUAGGGGAGAUCGGAAUUCCUGGUGUAGCGGUGAAAUGCGCAGAUAUCAGGAGGAACACCGGUGGCGAAGGCGGAUCUCUGGGCCAUUACUGACGCUGAGGAGCGAAAGCGUGGGGAGCGAACAGGAUUAGAUACCCUGGUAGUCCACGCCGUAAACGUUGGGAACUAGGUGUUGGCGA
RNAcentral lists this ribosomal RNA (761 nucleotides) under Streptomyces sp. Sp080513IM-02. RNAcentral's name for it is "bacterial SSU rRNA". It matches the Rfam family "Bacterial small subunit ribosomal RNA", at positions 51 to 829 of the family's 1533-position model. Lineage: Bacteria; Bacillati; Actinomycetota; Actinomycetes; Kitasatosporales; Streptomycetaceae. The record is from RNAcentral.